GUUUACUUGUUGUAUAAAUACAUCAAUUGACAUCAAUGAAAUUCAAUUCAGCCAAUUCUUCUUCUUUUCAUGGUAUCAGAGCAGGGACUAAUUAAAAUCCUGACUUUAUUGUAGCCACACUAUACUUUCUCGUGCAACAAUCUCUCAUCCUUUGGCCACCAUGGUUGAUGAAAGGAAUCCUACCUCUUCUGGAACAUCAAAACCAGACUCAUCAAAG
RNAcentral lists this long non-coding RNA (217 nucleotides) under Vitis vinifera (wine grape). RNAcentral describes it as "long non-coding RNA (VVIN_LNC006850)". Lineage: Eukaryota; Viridiplantae; Streptophyta; Magnoliopsida; Vitales; Vitaceae. The record is from RNAcentral.